RNAcentral lists this ribosomal RNA (460 nucleotides) under uncultured bacterium. RNAcentral's name for it is "partial 16S ribosomal RNA". It matches the Rfam family "Bacterial small subunit ribosomal RNA", at positions 338 to 795 of the family's 1533-position model. The record is from RNAcentral.
CCUACGGGGGGCAGCAGUGAGGAAUAUUGGUCAAUGGACGAGAGUCUGAACCAGCCAAGUAGCGUGAAGGAUGACUGCCCUAUGGGUUGUAAACUUCUUUUAUAUGGGAAUAAAACGUUCAACGUGUGGGAUUUUGUAUGUACCAUAUGAAUAAGGAUCGGCUAACUCCGUGCCAGCAGCCGCGGUAAUACGGAGGAUCCGAGCGUUAUCCGGAUUUAUUGGGUUUAAAGGGAGCGUAGGUGGAUUGUUAAGUCAGUUGUGAAAGUUUGCGGCUCAACCGUAAAAUUGCAGUUGAAACUGGCAGUCUUGAGUACAGUAGAGGUGGGCGGAAUUCGUGGUGUAGCGGUGAAAUGCUUAGAUAUCACGAAGAACUCCGAUUGCGAAGGCAGUUCACUGGACUGCAACUGACACUGAGGCUCGAAAGUGUGGGUAUCAAACAGGAUUAGAUACCCGUGUAGUC